UUUUCUUCUUCCUUCUCUUCUCUCGUCUCUGAUUGUUUUCUAGAUCUAAGUUUCGUUUUCACACAGAUCUCUCUACCGCUCACACAUCUCUCCAUCUCUGCUCACAGAAGAAACAUCAAUGCCUCUACUCACAUAUCUAUGUUUGUCUCUUAUCAGUUGUGUAUGUAUUUGAUUUUGUUUUGAUAGAUGACAGAGACGGAGGUGGACUGCGACGGUAACGAAGAUGGAGAGACUUAGAGGGCUGAGGAAGAAGCGGAGAUUUUUAAACUAGGAAGAAGAAGAAGAAGGAGAGAAGACAAAGGAAGAAGAAGAAAAGCCAAGAUGAAGCUUCGCUGGCUCCUUCCAGAGCCAAUAUUGAAGAAGAUGAAGGUGGUGAGGUGGUGCGUGUAUCACUGGCGACACGGGGGUGGGCUAUCACCGGAGGAAUGUUGCGCGUGGUUCAUGGCCUGGUGCGCGUGGUGCUGUGCGAGGAUAUACAUAUAUAAUAAACAUCCACGAAAAGCAGCAUGGUAAAACCGUGGCUCGUAGCCACGUUUAGCCACAGUUUUUUCCAGCCACGAGGCUAUAGCCACGGUAAAUUUCCAAUCCAUAAGCGUGACUUAUUUUCUUUGUAGCCA
Long non-coding RNA from Brassica napus (rape), 617 nucleotides. RefSeq lists it as uncharacterized. The record is from RefSeq and is a predicted model, not a curated record. Lineage: Eukaryota; Viridiplantae; Streptophyta; Magnoliopsida; Brassicales; Brassicaceae. The transcript has 3 exons.